UGGGGAAUAUUGGACAAUGGGGGCAACCCUGAUCCAGCAAUGCCGCGUGAGUGAUGAAGGCCUUCGGGUUGUAAAGCUCUUUUGGCGGGGACGAUGAUGACGGUACCCGCAGAAUAAGCCCCGGCUAACUUCGUGCCAGCAGCCGCGGUAAUACGAAGGGGGCUAGCGUUGUUCGGAAUUACUGGGCGUAAAGGGCGCGUAGGCGGCUCUGAUCGUCGGAUGUGAAAGGCCUGGGCUCAACCUGGGAACGGCAUCCGAUACGGCAGGGCUUGAGUGUGGGAGAGGUUGGUGGAAUUCCCAGUGUAGAGGUGAAAUUCGUAGAUAUUGGGAAGAACACCGGUGGCGAAGGCGGCCAACUGGACCACAACUGACGCUGAGGCGCGAAAGCGUGGGGAGCAAACAGG
This 404-nucleotide ribosomal RNA is filed under the name uncultured bacterium. Its description in RNAcentral is "bacterial SSU rRNA". It matches the Rfam family "Bacterial small subunit ribosomal RNA", at positions 355 to 776 of the family's 1533-position model. The record is from RNAcentral.